This is an RNA transcript of Prunus dulcis (almond), 1566 nucleotides long. It is a transcript of the gene named ATP synthase subunit alpha, chloroplastic-like, with no coding region annotated. The transcript has a single exon. NCBI's taxonomy places the organism in Eukaryota, Viridiplantae, Streptophyta, Magnoliopsida, Rosales, Rosaceae. The record is from RefSeq and is a predicted model, not a curated record.
UUUAAAUACCGGUACUGUACUUCAAGUAGGCGAUGGCAUUGCUCGUAUUUAUGGUCUUGAUGAAGUAAUGGCAGGUGAAUUAGUAGAAUUUGAAGAGGGUACGAUAGGCAUUGCUCUGAAUUUGGAAUCAAAUAAUGUCGGUGUUGUAUUAAUGGGUGACGGUUUGAUGAUACAAGAGGGGAGUUCUGUAAAAGCAACAGGAAGGAUUGCUCAGAUACCCGUAAGCGAGGCUUUUUUAGGUCGUGUUAUAAAUGCACUGGCUAAACCUAUUGAUGGUCGGGGCGAAAUUUCAUCUUCUGAAUCUCGAUUAAUUGAAUCUCCUGCUCCUGGUAUUAUUUCGAGACGUUCCGUAUACGAGCCUCUUCAAACAGGACUUAUUGCUAUUGAUUCUAUGAUCCCUAUAGGGCGUGGUCAGCGAGAAUUAAUUAUUGGGGACAGACAGACCGGUAAAACAGCAGUAGCCACAGAUACUAUUCUCAAUCAACAAGGGCAAAAUGUAGUAUGCGUUUAUGUAGCUAUCGGUCAAAAAGCAUCUUCUGUGGCUCAGGUGGUGACUGCUUUACAGGAAAGGGGAGCAAUGGAAUACACUAUUGUGGUAGCUGAAACGGCGGACUCCCCUGCUACAUUCAAUCAUUUAUGACGAUCCCUCCAAACAAGCGCAGGCUUAUCGCCAAAUGUCUCUUCUAUUACGAAGACCGCCGGGCCGCGAAGCUUAUCCGGGAGAUGUUUUUUAUUUACAUUCACGCCUUUUGGAAAGAGCCGCUAAAUCAAGUUCUCGUUUAGGUGAAGGAAGUAUGACUGCUUUACCAAUAGUUGAGACCCAAUCGGGAGAUGUUUCGGCUUAUAUUCCUACUAAUGUAAUUUCCAUUACAGAUGGACAAAUAUUCUUAUCUGCCGAUUUAUUUAAUGCUGGAAUCAGACCGGCCAUUAAUGUGGGUAUUUCUGUUUCCAGGGUAGGAUCCGCAGCUCAAAUUAAAGCCAUGAAACAAGUAGCUGGCAAAUCAAAGUUGGAAUUGGCACAAUUUGCAGAAUUAGAAGCCUUUGCACAAUUCGCUUCUGAUCUCGAUAAAGCUACUCAGAAUCAAUUGGCAAGAGGUCAGCGAUUACGUGAGUUGCUCAAACAAUCUCAAUCAUCUCCCCUUUCGGUGGAAGAACAGAUACUGACUAUUUAUACCGGAACGAACGGUUAUCUUGAUUCAUUAGAAAUCGGACAGGUAAGGAAAUUUCUUGUUGAGUUACGUACUUACUUAAAAACGAAUAAACCUCAGUUCCAAGAAAUCAUAUCAUCUACCAAGACAUUUACCGACGAAGCGGAAGCCCUUUUGAAAGAAGCUAUUCAGGAACAGAUGGAACGUUUUCUACUUCAGGAACAAGUAUAAAGAAAUACUUUGAAUCUUCAUCAAUCUUAAUUUAAUUAUAAAAUUAUAAUCUUUAUAUAAAUCUUUAGAAUUUAAAAUAUUAUAUAAUCAUUAUUAUUAUAUAAUCUUUUAAUCUUUAUAUUAUCUUUAUAAUUUAUAAUAUAUAUAAUAUAUUUUAUAUUAUGACUUGAUAUUAUAAUAUCAUGAC